GAUGAAGAACGCAGCGAAAUGCGAUAAGUAAUGUGAAUUGCAGAACUCAGUGAAUCAUCGAAUCUUUGAACGCACAUUGCGCCCUUUGGUAUUCCGAAGGGCAUGCCUGUUCGAGCGUCAUUAUCACCCCUCAAGCCCCCCGGCUUGGUGUUGGACGGUUUGGCGGAGGCCCUCCGGGGCCCUUGCCCCUCCCAAAGACAAUGACGGCUGCCUCGUUGGACCCCCGGUACACUGAGUUCUUUACGGGACACGUACUGGAGUAAGGGUGCACGGGGCACGGUCUGCCUCCCCUCAGGGAGAAUCUUUUUUUACAAGGUUGACCUCGGAUCAGGUAGGGAUACCCGCUGAACUUAAGCAUAUCAAUAAGCGGAGGA
RNAcentral lists this unclassified non-coding RNA (374 nucleotides) under soil metagenome. RNAcentral's name for it is "partial contains 5.8S ribosomal RNA, internal transcribed spacer 2, and large subunit ribosomal RNA". The stretch from base 1 to 120 matches the Rfam family "5.8S ribosomal RNA", at positions 35 to 154 of the family's 154-position model. The record is from RNAcentral.